Long non-coding RNA from Bos taurus (domestic cattle), 989 nucleotides. The record is from Ensembl. Lineage: Eukaryota; Metazoa; Chordata; Mammalia; Artiodactyla; Bovidae.
GAUGUCUGGAGAACAUCUUGUGGAAGAUGGAGACCCUCCCAAAUAUCUGAUCUCUCUUGAAAGGCCAGGUGGUCUAUUGAACAGAAUGGGGCUUGGGAGUCAGAUCCCCAGUUCCAUGUCCCACUCUAGGGGUGAUCUAGCUGUAUGAUCUUGGGAAGAUGUCUUGGUCUCAGAUGGUGCUGAACUAGAGUCUUUCUAGGCCUAUCUCCUGCCUUUUCUAAUGCCUUAAAAAGGAUGAAGGAAAAAACAAGUAAAACAAACAAAAGUUUCCGGCCACAGAUGCCUUGCCUUGUCCACUAGAGACUUCCUGAACUUCGGAUACUGCUUACCUGCCAGGUGCUCCCAACUCUACCAGACCUGGCUGGUCUCCCCAUCCUUCAUCACUCUCCUCCAACUUCCUAAUUCAAGACCUUCCUGCACUUGAAGGAUGCCACCCAGUUUAUGUCUGUCUCAGAGGAGGAGAGCAAGCUUCGGGGAACUCUGCCUGCAGAGAUGGACAAGCUCUGGAUCUGAAGGCAUUCCCUAAAGCAACACCAGCCCCUUGUUUUCUGCCGACCUGGCCUAUUUGGAGCAAAUUACUUACUGUUCUGUCUGUCCAGCUUGGAACUGAGAAGUCCAAAGGGAUGGAGAGAGACAGACAGGAAGGAUCCGUGUCAGGAGGCAGGCAAUUUAGAUGAACUCUUUUGCCUUGUUCUCUCUACCCUCACCCCCAUCCUAGCCCCAACAGAUAGCUAGCAGAGCCCUAGGUCCCUGCCCACUACCCCUAUUAAUGGAAGCCUAAUGUACUUGGGCAAAUCUCCCAGCUCUCCAAGUCAAUUUCCCUUAUGUAGACUAGAGAUAAAAUAUAAAACUGUCAUAAGACAAAUUGAGAGUAACAUGGAAGCAUAUACAUUACCAUAUGUAAACAGAUAGCCAGUGGGAAUUUGCUGUAUGAAGCAGGGAGCUCAAAUCUGAUGCUCUAUGACAACAUAGAGGGGUGGGGUGGGGUG